RNAcentral lists this transfer RNA (61 nucleotides) under Oxyrrhis marina. The record is from RNAcentral. Lineage: Eukaryota; Dinophyceae; Oxyrrhinales; Oxyrrhinaceae.
CGUGGUGCAGUGGUGAGACACCUCGCUGGAAUGCCCGAGGUCGCAGGGUUCAAAUCCGGGC